RNAcentral lists this ribosomal RNA (207 nucleotides) under Escherichia coli. Its description in RNAcentral is "partial 16S ribosomal RNA". It matches the Rfam family "Bacterial small subunit ribosomal RNA", at positions 1 to 202 of the family's 1533-position model. Lineage: Bacteria; Pseudomonadati; Pseudomonadota; Gammaproteobacteria; Enterobacterales; Enterobacteriaceae. RNAcentral also lists the same sequence under 5 other names. The record is from RNAcentral.
UUUAUGGAGAGUUUGAUCCUGGCUCAGGAUGAACGCUGGCGGCGUGCCUAAUACAUGCAAGUCGAGCGAACGGACGAGAAGCUUGCUUCUCUGAUGUUAGCGGCGGACGGGUGAGUAACACGUGGAUAACCUACCUAUAAGACUGGGAUAACUUCGGGAAACCGGAGCUAAUACCGGAUAAUAUUUUGAACCGCAUGGUUCAAAAGU